GAAGACGAAUAUAGGUCUAGUAUACAUAUAGUGAAAAUUUGUGACUAGAUCUUAUACUCGUCUUUA
Non-coding RNA from Camponotus floridanus (Florida carpenter ant), 66 nucleotides. Lineage: Eukaryota; Metazoa; Arthropoda; Insecta; Hymenoptera; Formicidae. The record is from Rfam.